Molecule: ribosomal RNA, 896 nt
Filed under: Ceratocystis fimbriata
Lineage: Eukaryota; Fungi; Ascomycota; Sordariomycetes; Microascales; Ceratocystidaceae
Description: LSU rRNA
Rfam family: Eukaryotic large subunit ribosomal RNA
Source: RNAcentral
AUGCUUUUGGUGAGGUGCCUUCCGAGUUCCCUGGAACGGGACGCCAUAGAGGGUGAGAGCCCCGUACGGUUGGAUACCAAACCUCUGUAUAGCUCCUUCAACGAGUCGAGUAGUUUGGGAAUGCUGCUCUAAAUGGGAGGUAUAUCUCUUCUAAAGCUAAAUAUAGGCUAGAGACCGAUAGCGCACAAGUAGAGUGAUCGAAAGAUGAAAAGCACUUUGAAAAGAGAGUUAAACAGCACGUGAAAUUGUUGAAAGGGAAGCGCCUAUGACCAGACUUGUUUCUGGCAGUUUCGUUAGCCUUCGGGCUGAUUUACUCUGUCCAGUACAGGCCAGCAUCAGUUUGCUGUCGGGGAGAAAGGCUCUGGGAACGUAGCUCCCCCCUUCUGGGGGGAGUGUUAUAGCCCUCUGCAUAAUACCCUUCGGCAGACUGAGGACCGCGCUUCGGCAAGGAUGCUGGCGUAAUGGUCAUCAGCGACCCGUCUUGAAACACGGACCAAGGAGUCAACCUUAUGUGCGAGUGUUUGGGUGUAAAACCCCAGCGCGUAAUGAAAGUGAACGUAGGUGAGAGCUUCGGCGCAUCAUCGACCGAUUCUGAUGUUUUCGGAUGGAUUUGAGUAAGAGCACACAGGGUUGGACCCGAAAGAAGGUGAACUAUGCUUGUAUAGGGUGAAGCCAGAGGAAACUCUGGUGGAGGCUCGCAGCGGUUCUGACGUGCAAAUCGAUCGUCAAAUAUGAGCAUGGGGGCGAAAGACUAAUCGAACCUUCUAGUAGCUGGUUCCAGCCGAAGUUUCCCUCAGGAUAGCAGUGUUGAAUUUUCUUCAGUUUUAUGAGGUAAAGCGAAUGAUUAGGGACUCGGGGGCGCUAUAUUGCCUUCAUCCAUUCUCAAACUUUAAAUA